AACAGGAUUAGAUACCCUGGUAGUCCACGCCCUAAACGAUGUCAACUAGCUGUUGGGGCCUUCGGGCCUUGGUAGCGCAGCUAACGCGUGAAGUUGACCGCCUGGGGAGUACGGUCGCAAGAUUAAAACUCAAAGGAAUUGACGGGGACCCGCACAAGCGGUGGAUGAUGUGGAUUAAUUCGAUGCAACGCGAAAAACCUUACCUACCCUUGACAUGUCUGGAAUUCCGAAGAGAUUUGGAAGUGCUCGCAAGAGAACCGGAACACAGGUGCUGCAUGGCUGUCGUCAGCUCGUGUCGUGAGAUGUUGGGUUAAGUCCCGCAGCGAGCGCAACCCUUGUCAUUAGUUGCUACGAAAGGGCACUCUAAUGAGACUGCCGGUGACAAACCGGAGGAAGGUGGGGAUGACGUCAAGUCCUCAUGGCCCUUAUGGGUAGGGCUUCACACGUCAUACAAUGGUCGGGACAGAGGGUCGCCAACCCGCGAGGGGGAGCCAAUCCCAGAAACCCGAUCGUAGUCCGGAUCGCAGUCUGCAACUCGACUGCGUGAAGUCGGAAUCGCUAGUAAUCGCGGAUCAGCAUGUCGCGGUGAAUACGUUCCCGGGUCUUGUACACACCGCCCGUCACACCAUGGGAGUGGGUUUUACCGGAAGUAGUUAGCCUAACCGUAAGGGGGGCGAUUACCACGGUAGGAUUCAUGACUGGGGUGAAGUCGUAACAAGGUAACCAAUCACUAGUG
Molecule: ribosomal RNA, 736 nt
Filed under: uncultured bacterium
Lineage: Bacteria
Description: bacterial SSU rRNA
Rfam family: Bacterial small subunit ribosomal RNA
Source: RNAcentral